This 253-nucleotide ribosomal RNA is filed under the name uncultured bacterium. RNAcentral describes it as "partial 16S ribosomal RNA". It matches the Rfam family "Bacterial small subunit ribosomal RNA", at positions 524 to 776 of the family's 1533-position model. The record is from RNAcentral.
UACGUGGGGGGCCAGCGUUGCUCGGAAUUACUGGGUGUAAAGGGUUCGUAGGCGGUGUAGCAAGUCGGGAGUGAAAUCUCUGGGCUCAACCCAGAGGCUGCUUCCAAAACUGCCGUGCUUGAGUGUGGGAGAGGCGCGUGGAAUUGCAGGUGUAGCGGGGAAAUGCGUAGAUAUCGGGAGGAACAACUGUGGCGAAAGCGGCGCACUGGACCACAUCUGACGCUGAGGCGCGAAAGCUAGGGGAGCAAACAGG